UGAGCCACCACACCCAGCCUCAAAUAUAAUUUUUAUUGGUGAAUUCAGGAAUUACAAGAACUUCAAUAAUGUCUGCUUACUUAACUUGGCAAUGCUCCCUCUACUCUCCUUCCAGCUCCCCAGUGAAGCAUGGCCUUGUGCGCCAUGAGCAGAUUUAAAGUUUAAGAAGAUGACUCUAGAUGUUCCAUGGAGAAUGCUGGGAGUGAGAGUGGCCAUGGGAAGACCCAGUGGGAGGCUGCUGAGUUGCCCAGAAGGGAAUAUAAGACAGCUGAAGGACAUGUUGCUGUUCCCAGAAUGGUGAUGCAAUCCAAGGAUUUUGGGGACCUGGACUUGUGUUUCCAAGGACUUUCCUUUCACCCAAAAUAAAAUAUGCUUUUGGUGCCUCUUGCUUUGCUUUUGCCCAUGUUGGUACUUGUUCAAUGAUAUAACUAGAGUCCAGGAAGGAUCGUAGCCCUACUGAGAACUUGAAAGAUCCCAAGUUCCAUCCUCAAAGCAUCCUCGCUGCCGCAUCAUUACAAAAUCCCCGUGAUCCA
Molecule: long non-coding RNA, 533 nt
Organism: Cercocebus atys (sooty mangabey)
Lineage: Eukaryota; Metazoa; Chordata; Mammalia; Primates; Cercopithecidae
Exons: 3
Source: RefSeq, a predicted model, not a curated record